Molecule: ribosomal RNA, 1586 nt
Filed under: human oral metagenome
Description: bacterial LSU rRNA
Rfam family: Bacterial large subunit ribosomal RNA
Source: RNAcentral
CUUGGAAGCAGCCAUCCUUGAAAGAGUGCGUAAUAGCUCACUGGUCAAGUGAUUCUGCGCCGACAAUUUAGCGGGGCUCAAGUUAUCCGCCGAAGCUGUGGCAUUCACAUGUGUGACCGGAAGGUUGUGUGGAUGGGUAGGGGAGCGUCGUGUGCGUGUUGAAGCGGUGGGGUGACCUGAUCGUGGAGUGCAUACGAGUGAGAAUGCAGGCAUGAGUAGCGAAUGACGGGUGAGAAACCCGUCCGCCGAUUAUCCAAGGGUUCCAGGGUCAAGUUAAUCUGCCCUGGGUUAGUCGGGACCUAAGGCGAGGCCGACAGGCGUAGUCGAUGGACAACGGGUUGAUAUUCCCGUACCGGCGAAACAACGCCCGUGCUGAGGCGCGCGAUGCUAAGCAUGCGAGACUGUCUGUUGCCUUUCGGGGUGGCGGGUGGUUGAGUCUGUGACCCGAGUGUGUAGUAGGCAAGCUGCGGAGGGACGCAGGAAGGUAGCUCAUCCUCACGCGUUGGUUGUCUGAGGCUAAGUGUGUAGGGUGGGGUGUAGGUAAAUCCGCAUUCCGUGAUGCCUGAGACAUGAUGGGCCCGAACUUUUGUGGUUCGGGUUGAGUGAUCCUAUGCUGCCUAGAAAAGCUUCGUUAGCGAGUUGUUAGCCGCCCGUACCCUAAACCGACACAGGUGGAUAGGUAGAGUAUACCGAGGCGAUCGGGAUAAUCGUGGUGAAGGAACUCGGCAAAAUACCCCCGUAACUUCGGGAUAAGGGGGACCUGCGACGUGUUAGAACUUGCUUCGAGAGCGUCAAGGGUCGCAGAGACCAGGCCCAAGCGACUGUUUACUAAAAACACAGGUCCGUGCCAACUCGUAAGAGGACGUAUACGGACUGACUCCUGCCCGGUGCUGGAAGGUUAAGGGGAACUGUCAGCCAUUUUGUGUGGUGAAGCGGUGAACUUAAGCCCCAGUAAACGGCGGUGGUAACUAUAACCAUCCUAAGGUAGCGAAAUUCCUUGUCGGGUAAGUUCCGACCUGCACGAAUGGAGUAACGACUUGGGUACUGUCUCCACCACGAGCUCGGUGAAAUUGCAUUACGAGUAAAGAUGCUCGUUACGCGCAGCAGGACGGAAAGACCCCGGGACCUUUACUAUAGUUUGGUAUUGGUGAUCGGUGUGACUUGUGUAGGAUAGGUGGGAGACUGUGAAGCCGGGACGCUAGUUUCGGUGGAGUCGCCGUUGAAAUACCACUCUGGUCACUCUGGUUAUCUAACCUAGGACCGUUAUCCGGUUCAGGGACAGUGCCUGAUGGGUAGUUUGACUGGGGCGGUCGCCUCCUAAAAGGUAACGGAGGCGCCCAAAGGUUCCCUCAGCCUGGUUGGCAAUCAGGUAGCGAGUGUAAGUGCACAAGGGAGCUUGACUGCGAGACUGACGGGUCGAGCAGGGACGAAAGUCGGGACUAGUGAUCUUCUGGUAGCGAAUGGAAGCGCCAGGACUCAACGGAUAAAAGGUACCCCGGGGAUAACAGGCUGAUCUUGCCCGAGCGUCCAUAGCGACGGCAUGGUUUGGCACCUCGAUGUCGGCUCGUCGCAUCCUGGGGCUGGAG